AUGCUGUGAUGACUAAAACUAUACCAUCAAACUUUGAGAGCUUUUAAGCUCGUUGAUGUAAACAUUAUUUCUGAGCUU
Papaver somniferum (opium poppy) is the source of this 78-nucleotide small nucleolar RNA. RefSeq annotates it as small nucleolar RNA snoR116. The record is from RefSeq and is a predicted model, not a curated record. The transcript has a single exon. Lineage: Eukaryota; Viridiplantae; Streptophyta; Magnoliopsida; Ranunculales; Papaveraceae.